This 484-nucleotide ribosomal RNA is filed under the name uncultured bacterium. RNAcentral's name for it is "partial 16S ribosomal RNA". It matches the Rfam family "Bacterial small subunit ribosomal RNA", at positions 28 to 507 of the family's 1533-position model. The record is from RNAcentral.
AUUGAACGCUGGCGGCAUGCUUUACACAUGCAAGUCGAGCGGCAGCGCGGGCUUCGGCCUGGCGGCGAGUGGCGAACGGGUGAGUAAUGCAUCGGAACGUGCCCAGUAGUUGGGGAUAGCCCGGCGAAAGCCGGAUUAAUACCGCAUACGACCUGAGGGUGAAAGCGAGGGACCGAAAGGCCUCGCGCUAUUUGAGCGGCCGAUGUCGGAUUAGCUAGUUGGUGGGGUAAAGGCUUACCAAGGCGACGAUCCGUAGCUGGUCUGAGAGGACGACCAGCCACACUGGGACUGAGACACGGCCCAGACUCCUACGGGAGGCAGCAGUGGGGAAUUUUGGACAAUGGGGGCAACCCUGAUCCAGCCAUGCCGCGUGCGGGAAGAAGGCCUUCGGGUUGUAAACCGCUUUUGUUCGGGAAGAAAUCCUCUGGGCUAAUACCCCGGGGGGAUGACGGUACCGGAAGAAUAAGCACCGGCUAACUACGUG